CCUACGGGGGGCAGCAGUGGGGAAUAUUGCACAAUGGGGGAAACCCUGAUGCAGCGACGCCGCGUGAGUGAAGAAGUAUUUCGGUAUGUAAAGCUCUAUCAGCAGGGAAGAAAAUGACGGUACCUGAUUAAGAAGCCCCGGCUAACUACGUGCCAGCAGCCGCGGUAAUACGUAGGGGGCAAGCGUUAUCCGGAUUUACUGGGUGUAAAGGGAGCGUAGACGGCAGCACAAGUCUGGAGUGAAAUGCCGGGGCUAAACCCCGGAACUGCUUUGGAAACUGUGCAGCUAGAGUGCAGGAGAGGUAGGGGGAAUGCCGAGGGGAGCGGUGAAAUGCGUAGAUAUUAGGAGGAACACGAGGGGCGAGGGCGGUUUACUGGACUGUAACUGACGUGGAGGCUCGAAAGCGUGGGGAGAAAACAGGAUUAGAUACCCUUGUAGUC
Molecule: ribosomal RNA, 440 nt
Filed under: uncultured bacterium
Lineage: Bacteria
Description: partial 16S ribosomal RNA
Rfam family: Bacterial small subunit ribosomal RNA
Source: RNAcentral